RNAcentral lists this ribosomal RNA (395 nucleotides) under uncultured bacterium. RNAcentral's name for it is "partial 16S ribosomal RNA". It matches the Rfam family "Bacterial small subunit ribosomal RNA", at positions 360 to 773 of the family's 1533-position model. The record is from RNAcentral.
AAUUUUCGGCAAUGGGGGCAACCCUGACCGAGCGACGCCGCGUGAGUGAAGAAGGCCNNNGGGUCNUCAAGCUCUGUCCUAAGNGACNAAACGGACGGUACCUUAGGAGGAAGCCCCGGCUAACUACGUGCCAGCAGCCGCGGUAAUACGUAGGGGGCGAGCGUUAUCCGGAAUUACUGGGCGUAAAGGGUGCGUAGGCGGCCUUUUAAGUCAGAUGUGAAAGGCUACGGCUUAACCGUAGUUAGCAUUUGAAACUAAAAGGCUUGAGUGCAGGAGAGGAGAGUGGAAUUCCUAGUGUAGCGGUGAAAUGCGUAGAUAUUAGGAGGAACACCAGUGGCGAAGGCGACUCUCUGGACUGCAACUGACGCUGAGGCACGAAAGCGUGGGGAGCGAAC